GUGUGUUCAGCCCGACCCCCGGGGCUGAACUCUGAAGACCCCGCCUCCUCCCCCCUGGCGGGGGUCUUCCUCC
Rhodococcus sp. MTM3W5.2 is the source of this 73-nucleotide non-coding RNA. The record is from Rfam. Lineage: Bacteria; Bacillati; Actinomycetota; Actinomycetes; Mycobacteriales; Nocardiaceae.